RNAcentral lists this ribosomal RNA (406 nucleotides) under uncultured bacterium. RNAcentral describes it as "partial 16S ribosomal RNA". It matches the Rfam family "Bacterial small subunit ribosomal RNA", at positions 30 to 526 of the family's 1533-position model. The record is from RNAcentral.
AUUGAACGCUGGCGGCAGGCCUAACACAUGCAAGUCGAACGAGUGGCGGACGGGUGAGUAAUGUCUGGGAAACUGCCUGAUGGAGGGGGAUAAAUACUGGAAACGGUAGCUAAUCCCGCAUACCAUCAGAUGUGCCCAGAUGGGAUUAGCUAGUUGGUGGGGUAACGGCUCACCAAGGCGACGAUCCCUAGCUGGUCUGAGAGGAUGACCAGCAACACUGGAACUGAGACACGGUCCAGCAUCCUACGGGAGGCAAAAGUGGGGAAUAUUGCACAAUGGGCGAAAGCCUGAUGCAGCGAUGCCGCGUGGAUGAAGAGGGCCUGCGGGUUGUAAAGUACUUUCAGCGGGGAGGCGUUACCCGCAGAAGAAGCACCGGCUAACUCCGUGCCAGCGGCCGCGGUAAUUC